This 580-nucleotide long non-coding RNA is filed under the name Phoenix dactylifera (date palm). Its description in RNAcentral is "long non-coding RNA (PDAC_LNC018716)". Lineage: Eukaryota; Viridiplantae; Streptophyta; Magnoliopsida; Arecales; Arecaceae. The record is from RNAcentral.
UUGAGUGAAGAAAGAGAAAGAGUUGAUCUCUCGCCCCCACUUGCGAACCUCCAUGGCCUUCCUCUCUAUCAAGAUUCUCGGCGAAGAAGAGUUCAAGAAGACUUGUGCUUUAUCCUACUGGCUAUGGUUGGAGACGAGCUGCUCUCAGGUAGUCAGAGGGAAGAAAGAGAAAGACUUGAUCUCUCGUCUCCACCUGCGAACCUCCUUGGCCUUCCUUUAAUAUUUAUAGCUUUUACAAUUAGAAGUUUGUUGAAAUCGUGCUAAGAUAAACCUCGAGCCAACUCUAAGCCCGUAACUGACGCGGCCAGUGAGAGAAUCUCAGAAUCGGCCUUUUUUUUAUUAUUAUUUGCUAACUAAAGUCAUAAAAAUCAGGAUGCAACUUGGAUUAACUAAUCAUAGAAAUUAGUGUUAGAUGCCUCACGAUAGAGAUUUUGAUGGUUUUGGGUUACCCAAAUCUCAACUUAAAACUAGCCCAACUUAACAUUGGGUUUACUUUUUUAAAUCCAUGCUACAAAAGACGGGGGAUUUAGCACUAGCUGAAACCGCUGGAAAAAAAGUACCAAAAGCUAUUAGGAAAAUU